This 460-nucleotide ribosomal RNA is filed under the name uncultured bacterium. RNAcentral's name for it is "partial 16S ribosomal RNA". It matches the Rfam family "Bacterial small subunit ribosomal RNA", at positions 338 to 795 of the family's 1533-position model. The record is from RNAcentral.
CCUACGGGGCGCAGCAGUGAGGAAUAUUGGUCAAUGGACGCAAGUCUGAACCAGCCAUGCCGCGUGCAGGAAGACGGCUCUAUGAGUUGUAAACUGCUUUUGUACGAGGGUAAACGCAGAUACGCGUAUCUGUCUGAAAGUAUCGUACGAAUAAGGAUCGGCUAACUCCGUGCCAGCAGCCGCGGUACUACGGAGGAUUCAAGCGUUAGCCGGAUUUAAUGGGUUUAAAGGGUGCGUAGGCGGUGGGAUAAGUUAGGGGUGAAAUCCCGAGGCUCAACUUCGGAAUUGCAUCUGAUACUGUUCGGCUAGAGAGUAGGUGCGGUAGGCGGAAUGUAUGGUGUAGCGGUGAAAUGCUUAGAGAUCAUACAGAACACCGAAUGCGAAGGCAGCUUACCAAGCUACUUCUGACGUUGAGGCACGAAAGCGUGGGGAGCAAACAGGAUUAGAUACCCUUGUAGUC